RNAcentral lists this ribosomal RNA (1215 nucleotides) under Candidatus Woesebacteria bacterium RIFCSPHIGHO2_01_FULL_38_10. RNAcentral describes it as "bacterial SSU rRNA". It matches the Rfam family "Bacterial small subunit ribosomal RNA", at positions 1 to 942 of the family's 1533-position model. Lineage: Bacteria; Candidatus Woeseibacteriota. The record is from RNAcentral.
UUUGAGGGUUUGAUCCUGGCCCAGGAUGAACGCUAGCGGCGUGCUUUAGGUAUGCAAGUGGAACGGCUCGUGCGGAGCACGGGCGACUUAAGACUGAAAACCGAAGACUUAAAUUUAAGUUUUUAGUGUUAAGUUUUAAGUUGCCCACGCUCUGCGUGAGCAGUCGCGAACGGCUGAGUAACACGUAGGAACGUACCUUCUAGUGGAGCAUAGCUCCUCGAAAGAGGGGGUAAUUCUCCAUACGGUGGGUGGAGAUUUAAGGGUGAAAUUAAGAUCCUUUUUGGAAAUUUUGCUUUUAAGUCUCCAUCUAUCAAAGAGAGUAACUUCUCGCUGGAAGAGCGGCCUGCGGCCUAUCAGCUAGUUGGUAGGGUAACGGCCUACCAAGGCAAUGACGGGUAGGGGGCGUGAGAGCGUGUACCCCCAGAAUGGCACUGAGAAACGGGCCAUACACCUACGGGUGGCGCAACCGGGAAUCGUGCGCAAUGGGCGAAAGCCUGACGCUGCGACGCCGCGUGAGGGAUGAAGGCCUAAGUGGUUGUAAACCUCUUUUGCCAGGUACCAUACGGUACUUGGAGAAUAAGCACCGGCUAACUCCGUGCCAGCAGCAGCGGUAAUACGGAGGGUGCAAGCGUUAUCCGGAUUCAUUGGGCGUAAAGGGUUCGUAGGCGGUCCGAUAAGUCGUGCUUUAAAGACCCCAGCUUAACUGGGGAAAGGGGCGCGAUACUGUCGGACUUGAAAAAUCUAGGGGCUUACCGGAACUGUCGGUGUAGGGGUGAAAUCCGUUGAUAUCGACAGGAACACCUAGGGCGAAGGCAGGUAGCUGGGGAUUUUCAGGUACCAUUCGGUACCUGACCAGGCACAGUAUAGUGCUUGGUUUGACGCUGAGGGACGAAAGCUAGGGGAGCGAAAGGGAUUAGAGACCCCUGUAGUCCUAGCUGUAAACGAUGCUCGCUAGGGAUAGGGCUCGCAAAGGAUGUAUCCUUUGCGAAAACUCCAAACAAUAUAUAAAUGUAAAGUUUUAUAAAUUUAUUUAAUUUAGUUUUGUUUGGAAGUUUGGAUUUUUGGAUGAUUUGGCGUUUUUCGCAAAAAUGCUGAUGCAUUUUUUGCGAGCUCUGUCCCGCAAGCUAACGCGUUAAGCGAGCCGCCUGGGGAGUACGAGCGCAAGCUUAAAACUCAAAGGAAUUGACGGGGACCCGCACAACCAGUGGAGCAUGU